This is a long non-coding RNA of Cairina moschata (Muscovy duck), 1705 nucleotides long. Lineage: Eukaryota; Metazoa; Chordata; Aves; Anseriformes; Anatidae. The record is from Ensembl.
AUGCUGGCAAUGCUUUGCCGUCCCGAAGCAGAGAGGGCGACCCAGACGCGGGCCGUGCCUCCCGCUGCCCUUUGGACUCGAGAGGCGCUGCCGACCCCCGCCGCCGGCCGGGCAGGGACCGGGGGGCACCGCUCCGCAUCCCCUCGUCCCGGCGCCGCUCCGCAUCCCCCCGGCCCGCCGGAUCCCGAGCCCGGGGCACCCCCCCCCCGUCCCGCCGGGGGUCGCGGGGCUUUACCUUGCCUCCCGCCCCGCCGAGGCACAGCGCCGCGGCCGCCGCCAGGACCAGCCCCGCACCGGGGAAGCUCCGGACCAUGGUGCGGGGAGCCGAGCCGAGCCGAGCCGUGCCGGGCUUUGCGGAGCCGUGCCCUGAGCCGUGCCGUGCUGAGCAGUGCCGUGCCCCGGGCGGGCUCCUCUGACAGCGACCCCCUCCCUCCCCCGGCCUCCCCGCCCCUCGCCCCCUCCCCCGGCCGCUCCCGGCCCCUGCCCUCCCCCGGGGGGCACCCGCGUUGCGGGGCCGGGCAGGGAGCGGGGGUGGCCGCUGCGAGCCCCCCGCUCCCCGGGGGGGUGCCCGGCGUUUUUUGUCCUCGCCGGGUGUGGAAACGGCCGGGGCUGGAGGCGGCCCGGCCCCUGCGGGCAGCCUCCCCCAGCGGCCUCCCGGGGAAAAGUGCCUCCCGCCGCCGGGGGGGAGACGAGGGGCAAAGUGCGCCCCGCCGGCCCCCGGAGCACGGGCUGGAAUGAUCAGGGGAAGGGGAGAAGGGAGAAAGGCCCUUUCCAAGGGGGGAAAAUCCCUUUCCAAGGAGGAAAGGGAAGGACCGCUGCCAGGCACCCUAAGGAGCCCCUCGGCCUUUCUGGAGAUCAUGGCAGGGCAGGGGAGGCUCCCCGUUCCCGUGACAUUUUGUGGUUUUCCAGGUCAGAACCUCUCCUGUACCCUUUCCAGUAACAGACACGCUGCAGUGAGCGUCAGCCAGCCCUACAGCCCCAGCAACCAGAACAUCUUCUGUCCGUGCAGGUGACAGCGAGCACACGUUGCUAGCUUCAGUUAUUCCUGUGCUCUGUAGAAGGAGUUGCAAUAGUUUAUUUUAAAUGUAAAAGUUUUGGUGAAAAGACUGCAGUUUUAUGCUUGGAGCUGCUUUUUUGUGGCUCGGUGACACAGACACUCCCCGGUAAGCAGCACAUGGAGCCCUCAGAGGCUCCAGCUGCCUGGUGUGUGCGGGGACGCUGCCAGCCCAGGUUGUGGCAGGGUUUGUCAUGCCUUCCCCAGAAAAUUCCCAUGCUGGCCCUAUUGGACGAAUGACACUGUCAUGGCAAGUCCUGAAUUCCUCCUUCCUAACAGGCAGGGAUUCACACGGCUUUCAGAGGACAGUGUCAUCAGUGGAAAAUCCCUGGAUAACACCUUCUGCUGGGGUCCAAGCAGGUGCAUGUAGUGAGCAUGAAAUUGGAGGACUGACACCUGAGAAAACCAAGGGAUUUUUGUCAUAAAUAUAUGGAUGUACUUUGUAUUUGACUUUCCGUAUUGUUCUCUUCAUCGUGUAAAUUGGAAGUAAUGUCUUGAAUUUAUACUUUUUAGUGAAAGCGUGAGAGGCUGUGCGCAGGCACUGAGGCAGCAGUCUCACACUGACUGCGCGCUGACACUGAGCUCAUCUGGAAUCCUGGGCUACUCGCCACAGGUUUGACACCCUUUGUGUAAAAAUAAUGCUCAACUUCC